UACAGAGGGGGCAAGCGUUAUUCGGAAUUAUUGGGCGUAAAGGGCGCGUAGGCGGCCAUUCAAGUGACGGGUGAAAGCCCUCGGCUUAACCGAGGAACUGCCUGUCAGACUGGAUGGCUUGAGACCGGGAGAGGUGAGUGGAGUUCCCAGUGUAGCGGUGAAAUGCGUAGAUAUUGGGAGGAACACCAGUGGCGAAGGCGGCUCACUGGACCGGAACUGACGCUGAGGCGCGAAAGCUAGGGGGGCAAACAGG
Molecule: ribosomal RNA, 253 nt
Filed under: uncultured bacterium
Lineage: Bacteria
Description: partial 16S ribosomal RNA
Rfam family: Bacterial small subunit ribosomal RNA
Source: RNAcentral